This 213-nucleotide long non-coding RNA is filed under the name Capsicum annuum. RNAcentral describes it as "long non-coding RNA (CANN_LNC002090)". Lineage: Eukaryota; Viridiplantae; Streptophyta; Magnoliopsida; Solanales; Solanaceae. The record is from RNAcentral.
AAACAUAGAAGGCUCACCACUUGUCUCUGUAAUUUUGUCUGAAUGAUCUACUGAUUCUCUUGACCCCUAGACUGGGCCUCUAAACCUGAGAGGUUAGAGAAGGAAGGUGGUUAGCACAAGAGUACUGGCACACAGAGAUAUUAAAAUAAAGCAUAAUAUUUUUACAAUAUAUAGUUGAGAGCCAUUAUAAAGAAAUUUCGUAUCAAAUCAUUU